AGGAGAUCGUUCAAAAAAUGGAGUGAUUUAGAUUAAUAACAGUGAGGGUUACUAAUAGUUUGUUCGUGUAUAUAUAAGGGUUAAGGUGAGUUAGUCGUAGCAGUGGUUUGGUAACGUUAAUGGUGUUUAUGUGAAGAAAACAGAGCUUCGAACGGUUGUUAACUAACAAGAUCAGGUCACAAUGUACGCAAACAUAAUGAGGAAAUAUGUGAAGAGCCCAGUGAGAAGUUUUAGGGUUGAACAAUCUGAUAGAAACAAGGUCAGGUUUUUUGAUAAUGUUAGUGUUAAGUGGGGGAUUAAAUUGCUUUAGUGAUGUUGUCCAUGCUAUAUUUCAGUUACCACCAAUUAAGAGGGUUAACCUAACUUGGUUCAGUGAAACAAACCUAUUUUACAUUGGUAGUAAUGAUGAAUUUUAUGAAAUGUGGGAUAAAGGAGUAGUUGAAGAUGGUGGGUAUAUUCAUCUUUACAUGAAUAUUACCCACAGGAAGGUUCCUCUUAGUGAUGAGUUCCCUGAAAGUUUUGGUUUGUCAGUUGCACAUAGUGGUUAUUCAACACCUGAGAAGGCCAAAUCUACUUCAUUUCUACGUAUUGAGAGAGAUGCACUACCAGUGACUCUUGACCCAUCAAGUUUCUUAACACUAAGAAGAGGUUGUUGUAUAGUAAAUCACCUGAGCUUUUAAAGAGAAGUCCUAGGUUGGUGUCUAAGUCUAUUGCUGCAGUCAUUGGGAGUUGUAAGAAGUCUUUAUUUGUUAAUGUGGAUGAUGAUGAGGUUGUAGAUGUUGAAACAUCAGUUGAAUCAAGACUUUCACAGUUGGGGUAUGACAACAAUAUACAACUGACAAAUAAUGAUAUAGAUGUGUGUCAUCCCAUUGAUGAUUGUAGAAGCCCACAUUUUGAUGAUGCGGAACUGGGUAUUGAAGUGUACACAGGAUUUGUCAACAACUAUUUUGGUGGAGUAGACUCUUUUGAUUACUUACAUCCACAACUAUAUAAGAAAAAGUGCAGCAGUUGGUUAACUUGGAUUAUGACUUAUGAUUGUGUUUAUGUUAUGUUAAUAUUAAGUUGGAUUCAGUCUAAUUUUCUUCUUUUAUUCAAACUUUUGGUCAUUACAUUACAUUUGUAGAUCUCCAAUUUGCUUGCAUAAAUCUUCCAUCUGUUUUACAUUGGAUUUUGCAGCAUUGAAUAUAGCAUCAGACAACCAUUGAAACUCAAGAAAGUUGGAGCAUUCGAGGCUUGGUUUUUCCAUGGAUAGUUGUUGUGCAUAUGGUUCUUGUCACCACAAGCAAAGCAGGAAUGGGGAGUGGGGAGAUGAACUGGAAUUUCUCUUUUUUGGUUUGUGGCAUCUGCAAACCACUCAAAGUACGAGCAGAUUGAGCAUCGCAAGAACUUCUCUCCAACAUGAUCAUCAGUUUGAGCUUUCAACAACUUCCUCACUCCAUUGCAAGGACUGUGUUGUUUGUUAGAAUGGAAAAAUGAGUGUACAUGUUUGCAUGAAUAUAAAGAAAAGAAGAAAUGCAAUCAGUCCGUUGGGAACGGUCUAAUUUUCCAGUCUCAAAAAAUUAGCCACGUCAACGAAUCUCCAACGUCAGCGGCUGUCCACGUCACCGAGUCUCAAACAGGUUGGGUUAAAUGGUUAACUGCAGUUAAAGACCUUGAGUUGAAAUGGAGGGUAUUUGUAGAUGGGGAAAAAUGAUUUGCUGGUUUUUACGGAAUUGAGGAGAUGACCGUGUGGAGAAUCCUU
Molecule: long non-coding RNA, 1741 nt
Organism: Papaver somniferum (opium poppy)
Lineage: Eukaryota; Viridiplantae; Streptophyta; Magnoliopsida; Ranunculales; Papaveraceae
Exons: 4
Source: RefSeq, a predicted model, not a curated record